RNAcentral lists this transfer RNA (65 nucleotides) under Chthamalus malayensis. Its description in RNAcentral is "tRNA-Glu". Lineage: Eukaryota; Metazoa; Arthropoda; Thecostraca; Balanomorpha; Chthamalidae. The record is from RNAcentral.
AUCUUAGUGGUGUAUAAAACACACUUCAUUUUCGUUGAUGAGAAGAAAAAAUUUUUCCUAGGAUA